GGAAGCUCUGAUGUCUCACAUACACCUACUGCAGGUUUUUGAUCAUCUUCAAUGUAGUCAGAUUGCUCAACAGAGUUGCUGGUCUCACCAUAAUAGAAGUUAAAUGGUGGUGGUGGAGCACUUUCAGACAGGAUACCUUCAUCAACAUUCUCAACGACGUCAUCGCCUUCAACACAAACACCUCCACCGCCAAGGAAUUCAUCAGCCACUUGAUCAUCACCAGGUACCACAGCCAGCUCUUCAUUUUCUUCCCAUUCCUCCUCAAUAAAAGGGGCACCAUACUGUUCUCCAUUUUUUGGUCCAGUACCACUCUUCUGGAAUAUCCUACACAGCACAAACGCAUCCUGCACAAUUGCAAUUUUUCCCAUCUCCUCGUCAGUGAGUUUGUAUUCGUGCAUCACCCAAUUGGUUCGUGCACCACGAGGAGCCCGACCAAUAUGAUACACAAGGGUCUUCUUCAUUCCAACUGUCCUCGCGCUAUGGCGGACCGGCCGGUCCUUUCCCGUCGUCUUCCAGUACCCUUUCU
Molecule: unclassified non-coding RNA, 526 nt
Filed under: Hevea brasiliensis (rubber tree)
Lineage: Eukaryota; Viridiplantae; Streptophyta; Magnoliopsida; Malpighiales; Euphorbiaceae
Source: RNAcentral